GAAAUCUGCGUUUUGAUUAUGUUCCUGGAAACAAUAACUUUCUUUUAAGAUCUAAGGAAGAGGAAGACUUUCUGGAACAGUGGAAAGAACUUGUCCUGGGAAUCAAAAGAUGUGAAUCUUGAUUUCUACUAAAGAUGACCCUAGGAUUUCAUGAUGUGCUGGGCAAUGAAAGACCUUCUGCUUACAUGAGGGAGCACAAUCAAUUAAAUGGCUGGUCUUCUGACGAAAAUGACUGGAAUGAAAAACUCUACCCAGUGUGGAAGAGGGGAGACAUGAGGUGGAAAAACUCCUGGAAGGGAGGCUGUGUGCAGGCGGUCCUGACCAGUGACUCACCAGCCCUCGUGGGCUCAAAUAUAACAUUUGUGGUGAACCUGGUAUUCCCUAGAUGCCAAAAGGAAGAUGCCAAUGGCAACAUUGUCUAUGAGAAGAACUGCAGAAAUG
RNAcentral lists this small RNA (441 nucleotides) under Pongo abelii (Sumatran orangutan). RNAcentral describes it as "retained intron". The record is from RNAcentral. Lineage: Eukaryota; Metazoa; Chordata; Mammalia; Primates; Hominidae.